This 380-nucleotide ribosomal RNA is filed under the name uncultured eukaryote. Its description in RNAcentral is "partial 18S ribosomal RNA". It matches the Rfam family "Eukaryotic small subunit ribosomal RNA", at positions 592 to 976 of the family's 1831-position model. The record is from RNAcentral.
CAAUAGCGUAUAUUAAAGUUGUUGCGGUUAAAAAGCUCGUAGUUGGAUUUCUGCUGAGGACGAUCGGUCCGCCCACUGGGUGAGUAUCUGGCUCGGCCUUGGCAUCUUCUUGGAGAACGUUGCUGCACUUGACUGUGUGGUGCGGUAUCCAGGACUUUUACUUUGAGGAAAUUAGAGUGUUUCAAGCAGGCGCACGCCUUGAAUACAUUAGCAUGGAAUAAUAAGAUAGGACCUUAGUUCUAUUUUGUUGGUUUCUAGAGCUGAGGUAAUGAUUAAUAGGGAUAGUUGGGGGCAUUCGUAUUUAACUGUCAGAGGUGAUAUUCUUGGAUUUGUUAAAGACGGACUACUGCGAAAGCAUUUGCCAAGGAUGUUUUCAUUGA